This 377-nucleotide ribosomal RNA is filed under the name uncultured eukaryote. RNAcentral's name for it is "partial 18S ribosomal RNA". It matches the Rfam family "Eukaryotic small subunit ribosomal RNA", at positions 592 to 976 of the family's 1831-position model. The record is from RNAcentral.
CAAUAGCGUAUAUUUAAGUUGCUGCAGUUAAAAAGCUCGUAGUUGGAUUUCGGGUGGGAAUGGCCGGUCCGCCGUUUCGGUGUGCACUUGCUACGCCCACCUUGCUGCCGGGGACGUGCUCUUGAGUUCACGCUCGGGACACGGAGUCGGCGAGGUUACUUUGAGUAAAUUAGAGUGUUCAAAGCAGGCCUACGCUCUGAAUACAUUAGCAUGGAAUAACACGAUAGGACUCUGGCCUAUCUUGUUGGUCUGUAGGACCGGAGUAAUGAUUAAGAGGGACAGUCGGGGGCAUUCGUAUUUCAUUGUCAGAGGUGAAAUUCUUGGAUUUAUGAAAGACGAACUACUGCGAAAGCAUUUGCGAAGGAUGUUUUCAUUAA